Molecule: transfer RNA, 63 nt
Filed under: Ictidomys tridecemlineatus (thirteen-lined ground squirrel)
Lineage: Eukaryota; Metazoa; Chordata; Mammalia; Rodentia; Sciuridae
Description: Spermophilus tridecemlineatus (thirteen-lined ground squirrel) tRNA
Rfam family: tRNA
About the family: Transfer RNA (tRNA) molecules are approximately 80 nucleotides in length. Their secondary structure includes four short double-helical elements and three loops (D, anti-codon, and T loops). Further hydrogen bonds mediate the characteristic L-shaped molecular structure. tRNAs have two regions of fundamental functional importance: the anti-codon, which is responsible for specific mRNA codon recognition, and the 3' end, to which the tRNAs corresponding amino acid is attached (by aminoacyl-tRNA synthetases). tRNAs cope with the degeneracy of the genetic code in two manners: having more than one tRNA (with a specific anti-codon) for a particular amino acid; and 'wobble' base-pairing, i.e. permitting non-standard base-pairing at the 3rd anti-codon position.
Source: Rfam by way of RNAcentral
GUAGAUGUAGCUUAGUGGCAGAGCACCUGCCUAGCAUGUAGGAGGCCCUGAGUUUCAUCUCCA